AGCGAACGCUGGCGGCAGGCUUAACACAUGCAAGUCGAGCGGGCAUAGCAAUAUGUCAGCGGCAGACGGGUGAGUAACGCGUGGGAACGUACCUUUUGGUUCGGAACAACUGAGGGAAACUUCAGCUAAUACCGGAUAAGCCCUUACGGGGAAAGAUUUAUCGCCGAAAGAUCGGCCCGCGUCUGAUUAGCUAGUUGGUGCGGUAAUGGCUCACCAAGGCGACGAUCAGUAGCUGGUCUGAGAGGAUGAUCAGCCACAUUGGGACUGAGACACGGCCCAAACUCCUACGGGAGGCAGGAGUGGGGAAUAUUGGACAAUGGGCGCAAGCCUGAUCCAGCCAUGCCGCGUGAGUGAUGAAGGCCCUAGGGUUGUAAAGCUCUUUUGUGCGGGAAGAUAAUGACGGUACCGCAAGAAUAAGCCCCGGCUAACUUCGUG
RNAcentral lists this ribosomal RNA (435 nucleotides) under uncultured bacterium. RNAcentral describes it as "partial 16S ribosomal RNA". It matches the Rfam family "Bacterial small subunit ribosomal RNA", at positions 29 to 507 of the family's 1533-position model. The record is from RNAcentral.